AUUAGGACUAAAUUCAUAACCUAAACCAAUUACCAUGAUAUUUAAGGAACUCUCAAAAUAAUAUAAGUGAGGUAUGAGAGUUUAAUAAUUUCUAUAAAAUAAAACACCGCCGUGCUCUAAAAGGUAUAAGUGAAGUACUAGAGCAACAUUGGCUAGCUCAAAAGAUAUAAGUGAAGUACAUAGAGUAUUCUAAUAAAUUCAUGAUUCAGCGUGUCUCUCUCAAAAUAUGUGUGCAUCAAGGAUAUUUUUGGCAAACUAAAAAGUAAAGACUCAUAUCAUACAAGACACUCCAAGCAAAACACAUAUUAUGUGGUGAAUAAAAAUAUAGCCUCCAAUAAAUUUACCGAUGGAUUGGAGACGAAAGAGGCGAUCCCUUCCGGGGCAUCCCAAGAUUAGGAUCUUUGGUAUCCUUCAAUAUGGAUUGGGGUUCCUUGGUAACCCCCAAGUUUAGGAUCUUGCCACUACUUAUUCUAUAGUCCAUCAAAUAUUUACCCAAAACUUGAAAACUUCACAAGAGAAAACUCAA
RNAcentral lists this long non-coding RNA (526 nucleotides) under Hordeum vulgare. RNAcentral describes it as "long non-coding RNA (HVUL_LNC016406)". The record is from RNAcentral. Lineage: Eukaryota; Viridiplantae; Streptophyta; Magnoliopsida; Poales; Poaceae.